RNAcentral lists this ribosomal RNA (250 nucleotides) under uncultured bacterium. RNAcentral describes it as "partial 16S ribosomal RNA". It matches the Rfam family "Bacterial small subunit ribosomal RNA", at positions 524 to 773 of the family's 1533-position model. The record is from RNAcentral.
UACGGAGGGUGCGAGCGUUGUCCGGAAUCACUGGGCGUAAAGGGCGCGUAGGUGGCAAGUUAAGCGUGCGGUGAAAGCCCGGGGCUCAACCCCGGGUCGGCCGUGCGAACUGGCUCGCUCGAGCACUGUAGAGGCAGGUGGAAUUCCGGGUGUAGCGGUGGAAUGCGUAGAGAUCCGGACGAACACCGGUGGCGAAGGCGGCCUGCUGGGCAGUUGCUGACACUGAGGCGCGACAGCGUGGGGAGCAAAC